This 529-nucleotide unclassified non-coding RNA is filed under the name Hevea brasiliensis (rubber tree). The record is from RNAcentral. Lineage: Eukaryota; Viridiplantae; Streptophyta; Magnoliopsida; Malpighiales; Euphorbiaceae.
AUAACUGAAAACUUGGCAGGUACACAUAAAAUGGUAGCAAAUUAUUGGAAUUUAACAGAACUUAAUAUUAUGGACAGACUUUUACUAAUAUAUUAACAAAAGUCCUCUAAUUAUCCAGGUACAAAUUUCAAGUAACUAUUAGCAUGGACAUGACUUAGUCCAAAACAAUUUUAAAAGUUUGAAGUGAAGAAAGAAUGGAUUAAUCUCAUGUACGAAAAACAAAACAAAUUAGCAAAAUUUUAAAAAGAAAAAGAAAAGGAGUGAGCUAACUAAUGCAUGCAUAAUAAGCUCACUUAAGCGGAAUAGUCCUUCUCUUCUGGGUAAAGUCAAAAUUUGAUAACUUUCAAGACCAUUUUUCUCAGAAAACAAACAGAGCAGAGCAGAGAAAUUCACAAAAAAAUCAAAAAUCAAAAAGAAAAAUCAGAAUACUAACAUUUUUCAAGCAAUUAUAAGGGCAGAAAAGAAAGAAAUCACACAGGCUUAUAUUAAAAGCAGAAGAAGAGCUCAAUUUUUUGGAAAUGGAAAAUUG